Molecule: ribosomal RNA, 819 nt
Filed under: Triticum aestivum (bread wheat)
Lineage: Eukaryota; Viridiplantae; Streptophyta; Magnoliopsida; Poales; Poaceae
Description: partial small subunit ribosomal RNA
Source: RNAcentral
AUGAGAACUGGAGGGCUUCAGUGCACCGCCGAGCAAGCAUUCAAUGGAUGCCAAGCAGCAUCCGAAUCGCAGGCGAGUCAUCCCUCUCUUAUGACUGAUUUGCACUGCUACUUUCUUGUGAAAAAGUUUGAACAAAACAUCAUACUGCUUUUGUACUGGAAGCAACAACUGACAGUGUUUGUUUCUGUUUUUACUCUUCAGACAUUCAACCGCCGGUCAGCACUCCUGCAUUUCCUGGUUCUACUGCAUUUUGCUUUUUCUUCAUGCACUUUUCAUUUGCUAAAUCAACCUGAAGCUGUUCCUGGAACAGGUCCUGCUGGUGUUGAUUGUGGUGAUCCUAUGAUGCCUGGUGCUCCCGUUGUUGGAAUCAUGACAGGGGUAAAUCGAGCCUGGUCAGCAGCAUAUGGUGAAGCCGGAGCACGACUUGCAGGUUUCACAGGGCAACAGUCAAGCUGCCCAUUUCAGCAGCAUGGAUCCAUCAUUCUCCAAGGCUGCAGCUCUUCAGCAAACCCAAAGGAACCAGCUACCCAAGCACACGGCAGCAACCAUCACAACAGCCUUCCUGUAGCAGGCGUGGUACCUGGUGUGCAGAACGGACCGCAGAUUCAGCAGCAGAACCAAGCAUCUGCGGUCACUUCAACCCCUUCUUCGCAACCACUAGUGCAUCAGAAGCAGCAGUCUGCACAAAGCCCAACAGAUAGCUCUGCACUUCCCAGUCGAACUGCCAAUGCUACAGAACCUAAGCAGAAGAAACAGCCGGGUCAACAGCAGCCUAGGCAGAAUCAACAACAGAGGAACCAAGCUAGUCAACAGAGCUAG